Molecule: ribosomal RNA, 400 nt
Filed under: uncultured bacterium
Lineage: Bacteria
Description: bacterial SSU rRNA
Rfam family: Bacterial small subunit ribosomal RNA
Source: RNAcentral
UGGGGAAUAUUGGACAAUGGGGGAAACCCUGAUCCAGCAAUGCCGCGUGUGUGAAGAAGGCCUGAGGGUUGUAAAGCACUUUAAUUGGUGAGGAAGGUAUAUAUGUUAAUAGCGUAUGUGCUUGACGUUAGCCAAGGAAUAAGCACCGGCUAACUCUGUGCCAGCAGCCGCGGUAAUACAGAGGGUGCGAGCGUUAAUCGGAAUUAUUGGGCGUAAAGGGCGCGUAGGCGGUUGAACAAGUCAGAUGUGAAAUCCCUGGGCUUAACCUAGGAAUUGCAUAUGAUACUGUUGAGCUAGAGUAUGGUAGAGGGUAGUGGAAUUUCCGGUGUAGCGGUGAAAUGCGUAGAUAUCGGGAGGAACACCAGUGGCGAAGGCGGCUAUCUGGACCAAUACUGACGCU